AAAUCCGUCGACUUUA
This 16-nucleotide transfer RNA is filed under the name Elaeodendron pininsulare. RNAcentral's name for it is "partial tRNA-Leu". Lineage: Eukaryota; Viridiplantae; Streptophyta; Magnoliopsida; Celastrales; Celastraceae. The record is from RNAcentral.